GGGGGCACGGGGGGCCUACGGGAGGCAGCAGUAGGGAAUCUUCCCCAAUGGGCSCAASCCUGAYGGAGCAACGCCGCGUGAGUGAGGAAGGCUUUCGGGUCGUAAAGSUYUGUUKCCAGGGAAGAAUAAGGGYUAGUUAAMUASUAGUCCGAUGACGUACCGAGAAGAAGACCCGUCCCC
This 180-nucleotide ribosomal RNA is filed under the name uncultured bacterium. RNAcentral's name for it is "partial 16S ribosomal RNA". It matches the Rfam family "Bacterial small subunit ribosomal RNA", at positions 320 to 500 of the family's 1533-position model. The record is from RNAcentral.